UAGGGAAUCUUCGGCAAUGGACGGAAGUCUGACCGAGCAACGCCGCGUGAGUGAAGAAGGUUUUCGGAUCGUAAAGCUCUGUUGUAAGAGAAGAACGAGUGUGAGAGUGGAAAGUUCACACUGUGACGGUAUCUUACCAGAAAGGGACGGCUAACUACGUGCCAGCAGCCGCGGUAAUACGUAGGUCCCGAGCGUUGUCCGGAUUUAUUGGGCGUAAAGCGAGCGCAGGCGGUUAGAUAAGUCUGAAGUUAAAGGCUGUGGCUUAACCAUAGUAGGCCUUGGAAACUGUUUAACUUGAGUGCAAGAGGGGAGAGUGGAAUUCCAUGUGUAGCGGUGAAAUGCGUAGAUAUAUGGAGGAACACCGGUGGCGAAAGCGGCUCUCUGGCUUGUAACUGACGCUGAGGCUCGAAAGCGUGGGGAGCAAACAGGAUUAGAUACCCUGGUAGUCCACGCUGUAAACGAUGAGUGCUAGGUGUUAGACCCUUUCCGGGGUUUAGUGCCGUAGCUAACGCAUUAAGCACUCCGCCUGGGGAGUACGACCGCAAGGUUG
This 550-nucleotide ribosomal RNA is filed under the name uncultured bacterium. Its description in RNAcentral is "bacterial SSU rRNA". It matches the Rfam family "Bacterial small subunit ribosomal RNA", at positions 355 to 896 of the family's 1533-position model. The record is from RNAcentral.